CGGAAGUUUUGGUUCCUCUGCGUCCUAGUAAGAACGGCAUUGUAGAAAUCAAAGACGGUGAAUUGGAAAGGAGCUGAUGCAGGAGAGUUUCUAGCCAUUUCGUUCAACAUCGGUCCAAUUUUUUCGUUGUGUUGUUUAGCCAAAUCGUUGAGUUUCUCAUAGCAUUGAUCCAUCCCGGUGUUGUAUUCUUGUCUGACGAUGGGU
Molecule: small RNA, 204 nt
Filed under: Arabidopsis thaliana (thale cress)
Lineage: Eukaryota; Viridiplantae; Streptophyta; Magnoliopsida; Brassicales; Brassicaceae
Description: ATSL054470
Source: RNAcentral